Non-coding RNA from Pelobates cultripes (western spadefoot toad), 86 nucleotides. The record is from the annotation of a GenBank genome assembly. NCBI's taxonomy places the organism in Eukaryota, Metazoa, Chordata, Amphibia, Anura, Pelobatidae.
CUCCAGAUGUUGCUGAACUACAACUCCCAUGAUUCUCAGCAUAUCUAUUGCAACUCAUGGGAGUUGUAGUUCAGCAACAUCUGGAG